CUCUGUUGUACAGUCUUGAUGUAACCCUUAACUCUAUGUACAUCUUCUGUUUGUCAUAGGAUCAUGUCAGCUGAACUCAAUUAAUGAAACCAGGAAUGAAUGCCAUCACCCAUCUUGUGAGCUGUUGAGGGAGAACAACCACAGGCUGCAGAGGGAAAAUGAUUCUCUCAAGGCAAAAAUAGCAACAUUGAAAUUGCUGCCAGACGUUUUGCAGAAGAUGGAGGAGUUUCUCCGCUCAGCACCAAGACCAACGACAACACCAAUACCAACACCAACACCAAGACCAAGACCAAGACCAGAACCAACACUAUCACCAGCACCAACAGCAGUUCCAGCACCAGCAAUAGAAGACCCAUCACCAGCACCAGGUCCAU
Gadus morhua (Atlantic cod) is the source of this 374-nucleotide long non-coding RNA. RefSeq lists it as uncharacterized. Lineage: Eukaryota; Metazoa; Chordata; Actinopteri; Gadiformes; Gadidae. The record is from RefSeq and is a predicted model, not a curated record. The transcript is spliced from 3 exons.